GACGAACGCUGGCGGCGUGCUUAACACAUGCAAGUCGAACGGGUCUGCCCUGUUUUUUGCGGGGUGGGUCAGUGGCGAACGGGUGAGUAACACGUGAGUAACCUGCCCCUCACUUCUGGAUAACCGCUUGAAAGGGUGGCUAAUACGGGGUGUUCUGGCUGUGCCGCAUGGUGUGGCUGGGAAAGAUUCACUUUUGUGGUGUUUUGGUGGGGGAUGGGCUCGCGGCCUAUCAGCUUGUUGGUGGGGUGAUGGCCUGCCAAGGCUUUGACGGGUAGCCGGCCUGAGAGGGUGGGCGGUCACACUGGGACUGAGAUACGGCCCAGACUCCUGCGGGAGGCAGCAGUGGGGGGUAUUGCACAAUGGGCGGAAGCCUGAUGCAGCGACGUUGCGUGAGGGAUGGAGGCCUUCGGGUUGUGAACCUCUUUCGCCGGUGAAGAAGGUCCUGCUCUUUGUGGUGGGGUUGACGGUAGCCGGGUUAUGAAGCGCCGGCUAACUACGUG
RNAcentral lists this ribosomal RNA (500 nucleotides) under uncultured bacterium. RNAcentral describes it as "partial 16S ribosomal RNA". It matches the Rfam family "Bacterial small subunit ribosomal RNA", at positions 28 to 507 of the family's 1533-position model. The record is from RNAcentral.